Non-coding RNA from Macrostomum lignano, 81 nucleotides. The record is from Rfam. Lineage: Eukaryota; Metazoa; Platyhelminthes; Macrostomidae.
CGUAGUUUAUGAUGAACAAUUCUUACCUACAUUGUUUGAUUUGACAAUUUGAUAGUAGAUGUUUAUACUGAGCUAACUCUG